This is a regulatory RNA element of 104 nucleotides. It matches the Rfam family "SAM riboswitch aptamer (S box leader)". From Rfam's summary of the family: The SAM riboswitch is found upstream of a number of genes which code for proteins involved in methionine or cysteine biosynthesis in Gram-positive bacteria. The record is from Rfam.
UUCUUAUCCAGAGAGGUGGAGGGACUGGCCCUAAGAAACCUCGGCAGCGGACGAUUAAGUACUGUGCCAAAUCCAGCAAGCGAAUGAUGCUUGAAAGAUAAGAA